This is a microRNA precursor of Homo sapiens (human), 90 nucleotides long. NCBI's taxonomy places the organism in Eukaryota, Metazoa, Chordata, Mammalia, Primates, Hominidae. The record is from Ensembl.
UGGCCUCUCCAGUCUGCAGCUCCCGGCAGCCUCGGGCCACACUCCCGGGAUCCCCAGGGACUGGCCUGGGACUACCGGGGGUGGCGGCCG